UUAUAUGAGAGUUUGAUCCUGGCUCAGGACGAACGCUGGCGGCGUGCCUAAUACAUGCAAGUCGAGCGGAUCUUUAGGAGCUUGCUCCUAAAGAUUAGCGGCGGACGGGUGAGUAACACGUGGGCAACCUGCCUGUAAGACUGGGAUAACUUCGGGAAACCGGAGCUAAUACCGGAUAACUUCUUUCCCUGCAUGGGGAAAGGUUGAAAGACGGUUAUGCUGUCACUUNNNNNNNNNNAGAUUAGCGGCGGACGGGUGAGUAACACGUGGGCAACCUGCCUGUAAGACUGGGAUAACUUCGGGAAACCGGAGCUAAUACCGGAUAACUUCUUUCCCUGCAUGGGGAAAGGUUGAAAGACGGUUAUGCUGUCACUUACAGAUGGGCCCGCGGCGCAUUAGCUAGUUGGUGAGGUAACGGCUCACCAAGGCAACGAUGCGUAGCCGACCUGAGAGGGUGAUCGGCCACACUGGGACUGAGACACGGCCCAGACUCCUACGGGAGGCAGCAGUAGGGAAUCUUCCGCAAUGGACGAAAGUCUGACGGAGCAACGCCGCGUGAGUGAAGAAGGUUUUCGGAUCGUAAAACUCUGUUAUCAGGGAAGAACAAGUACCGUGUAACUAACGGUACCGUGACGGUACCUGACCAGAAAGCCACGGCUAACUACGUGCCAGCAGCCGCGGUAAUACGUAGGUGGCAAGCGUUGUCCGGAAUUAUUGGGCGUAAAGCGCGCGCAGGCGGUUUCUUAAGUCUGAUGUGAAAUCUCGCGGCUCAACCGUGAGCGGUCAUUGGAAACUGGGAAACUUGAGUGCAGAAGAGAAGAGCGGAAUUCCACGUGUAGCGGUGAAAUGCGUAGAGAUGUGGAGGAACACCAGUGGCGAAGGCGGCUCUUUGGUCUGUAACUGACGCUGAGGCGCGAAAGCGUGGGGAGCGAACAGGAUUAGAUACCCUGGUAGUCCACGCCGUAAACGAUGAGUGCUAAGUGUUAGAGGGUUUCCGCCCUUUAGUGCUGCAGCAAACGCAUUAAGCACUCCGCCUGGGGAGUACGGCCGCAAGGCUGAAACUCAAAGGAAUUGACGGGGGCCCGCACAAGCGGUGGAGCAUGUGGUUUAAUUCGAAGCAACGCGAAGAACCUUACCAGGUCUUGACAUCCCGCUGACCGGCCUAGAGAUAGGCCUUCCCCUUCGGGGGCAGCGGUGACAGGUGGUGCAUGGUUGUCGUCAGCUCGUGUCGUGAGAUGUUGGGUUAAGUCCCGCAACGAGCGCAACCCUUGAUCUUAGUUGCCAGCAUUUAGUUGGGCACUCUAAGGUGACUGCCGGUGACAAACCGGAGGAAGGUGGGGAUGACGUCAAAUCAUCAUGCCCCUUAUGACCUGGGCUACACACGUGCUACAAUGGAUGGUACAAAGGGCUGCAAGACCGCGAGGUUUAGCCAAUCCCAUAAAACCAUUCUCAGUUCGGAUUGCAGGCUGCAACUCGCCUGCAUGAAGCCGGAAUCGCUAGUAAUCGCGGAUCAGCAUGCCGCGGUGAAUACGUUCCCGGGCCUUGUACACACCGCCCGUCACACCACGAGAGUUUGUAACACCCGAAGUCGGUGGGGUAACCCUCUGGGAGCCAGCCGCCGAAGGUGGGACAGAUGAUUGGGGUGAAGUCGUAACAAGGUAGCCGUAUCGGAAGGUGCGGCUGGAUCACCUCCUUU
This 1696-nucleotide ribosomal RNA is filed under the name Bacillus sp. FJAT-49711. RNAcentral's name for it is "Bacterial small subunit ribosomal RNA". It matches the Rfam family "Bacterial small subunit ribosomal RNA". The record is from Rfam by way of RNAcentral. Lineage: Bacteria; Bacillati; Bacillota; Bacilli; Caryophanales; Bacillaceae.